Rattus norvegicus (Norway rat) is the source of this 669-nucleotide non-coding RNA. The record is from RefSeq and is a predicted model, not a curated record. Lineage: Eukaryota; Metazoa; Chordata; Mammalia; Rodentia; Muridae.
UUUGUUGCCGUGGCAACCACCUUACAUUCCCAGCAUACUUUGGUUCAGCUCACACCUUCACCUGGGAGCAGUUACAUCACAUUUCAAAUAAAAGGACAAUAAAAGCUAAGCCUUCAGUGAAGUUGCCCUCUGAAGGCCAGCGGGAAGUGUUUGUUUUGUCUUCUGUGUAAAAUCGGAGCUAGCAACCAAAAGAACUUGAUGUCCCCAUGAAAAAUGCAAAGGAUCACGGCAGAGAGCUGAUAGCAGGUCAUUGUGCGUGCAUUCCUCACGGCCCCUCACAGUGCUGGGUUCCGAAGGAGAAGACAUUUCCUGCCUCGGUACAUAGCAGAGGAAGACAAGUGUCCUGCAAUGACCUCAGAAGACUCUGGCAGGUUUUCAAAGACCUUGAGCAGAAUUUCCUCAAAGCUUCCAUCAACCCAGUGAGCCUCUGUGGUAUGGUGUGGAACACAUGCGCGUCCCGCGCAUUCCACAGGAUGGACGAGAGUUGCUGUAGAGGGUCAUCUUUACAACCACUGGAAACAUGUUCGCCAGUGAUGCAGAAAAGGACACCAUGAUCUACAAUAUGUUCCUCCAACCUUCUUCGCUCCUAUCCAACUACGAUUAUUGAAGGCAGACAGUAAUUUACUAAUGCCCAUAAUGCUAUAGAAUUUAAUAUAUCCUGUCAUUGAA